AUGACUACCAACUCAGCAGCUGCUGUAAAUCGCACAGCCCAGCCACGACCACAGCGGCUGUCCGCGCCGUACUCUCCGCCGGAACCAUCAAACAACAACAGCGACCUUCCAUCCUCUUCGCGAUCGCAUCCGCGACAUCACCAUCAUCACCGGUUCAACAUGCCUCUUUGUUUGCAUGGUAAUUUCCGAAAUUAUCUCGUUGAUUCAAUUAUAUGUUUUAGGAAACAAAGGAAAGGAAGAUUGUAA
Molecule: non-coding RNA, 246 nt
Organism: Vicia faba (fava bean)
Lineage: Eukaryota; Viridiplantae; Streptophyta; Magnoliopsida; Fabales; Fabaceae
Source: the annotation of a GenBank genome assembly